CCCUUUCUAUGCAAUUACAGUUUUACUUCUGUCUUAUCUCAUGUGAGGGUUUAGGCAUGUAUUUAUAAGAACACAAAAAUUGAGUGUUCUUGAUAAAACUAAAAAGUGUGCAUAAUCAUUGCUCAAACGAGAUUUUUGUAUGGUUCAAAUAUAAGUUUUAUUAGUAAAGUUCAUACCUCAAAAGAAUCUGAAUCACCUUUAAAUUAUUUUGGGUACAUAUAUGGAUGGAUAUAGGAUUAGAAGUCGGGUAUUGACCAGAUCCAUAUCCUAUUGACAAUCUCUUAUACGGUCUUUCUUUUCUGAGUGGUGGGGGUCACUUUUCUUUGUCAAGAUACAAAUAUUUUCCACGUUACAUAAAUUAUUUAUUCAAGUGUAUGCUAGACUGGUCUACUCUCUCUCUCUCUCUCUCUCUCUCUCUCUAUCUAUCUAUCUAUCUAUCUAUCUAUAU
This 448-nucleotide long non-coding RNA is filed under the name Actinidia chinensis (golden kiwifruit). RNAcentral's name for it is "long non-coding RNA (ACHI_LNC001718)". Lineage: Eukaryota; Viridiplantae; Streptophyta; Magnoliopsida; Ericales; Actinidiaceae. The record is from RNAcentral.